RNAcentral lists this long non-coding RNA (272 nucleotides) under Homo sapiens (human). RNAcentral's name for it is "PREDICTED lncRNA (TCONS_00084959)". Lineage: Eukaryota; Metazoa; Chordata; Mammalia; Primates; Hominidae. The record is from RNAcentral.
UAGAGAGCUUCCAGAUAGCCGAACAUAUGGGUGCUCCUGGAAGGUAGAGUGCCCAGGAAGGACAUGGAGACUCUCUACUCCUUCCCCCAUACCUUGCCCUACACAUCUCUUCAUUAGAUGCUCAAAAGGUAAAAGUUGUAUGUUUGCGGAGACUGCUCCUGCUUCUGGAAUCUGACAAGACUGAAAGGAAGCCUGCAAACUUGAGUGGUCUCUCCCUGGGAGACAUAUUCAUACAACAUGAUAAUGAACUGGACUAAUUACUAAUGACUGAA